GGGAGGGGUACAUNANCAGUCGAGGGGCAUCGGGAGGGAAGCUUACUUUCCUUGCCGGCGACCGGCGCACGGGUGAGUAACACGUAUGCAACCUGCCCUCUUCAGGGGGACAACCUUCCGAAAGGGAGGCUAAUCCCGCGUAUAUCGGUUUCGGGCAUCCGUUAUCGAGGAAAGAUUCAUCGGAAGAGGAUGGGCAUGCGGCGCAUUAGCUAGACGGCGGGGUAACGGCCCACCGUGGCGACGAUGCGUAGGGGUUCUGAGAGGAAGGUCCCCCACACUGGUACCGAGACACGGACCAGACUCCUACGGGAGGCAGCAGUGAGGAAUAUUGGUCAAUGGGAGAGAUCCUGAACCAGCCAAGCCGCGUGAGGGAAGACGGCCCUAUGGGUUGUAAACCUCUUUUGUCGGAGAACAAAACCCGGGACGUGUCCCGGACUGCGUGUAUCCGAAGAAAAAGCAUCGGCUAACUCCGUGCCAGCAGCCGCGGUAAUACGGAGGAUGCGAGCGUUAUCCGGAUUUAUUGGGUUUAAAGGGUGCGUAGGCGGUCUGUUAAGUCAGCGGUAAAAUUGCGGGGCUCAACCCCGUCGAGCCGUUGAAACUGGCAGACUUGAGUUGGCGAGAAGUACGCGGAAUGCGCGGUGUAGCGGUGAAAUGCAUAGAUAUCGCGCAGAACUCCGAUUGCGAAGGCAGCGUACCGGCGCCAGACUGACGCUGAGGCACGAAAGCGUGGGGAUCGAACAGGAUUAGAUA
RNAcentral lists this ribosomal RNA (750 nucleotides) under uncultured bacterium. RNAcentral describes it as "bacterial SSU rRNA". It matches the Rfam family "Bacterial small subunit ribosomal RNA", at positions 44 to 784 of the family's 1533-position model. The record is from RNAcentral.